UAAACUAGGAUUAGAUACCCUAUUAUUUUUGAAUGUUAAUUGUUAUGCUUGAGUAGUAUUAGUUAUGUUCUUGAAACUUAAAGAAUUUGGCGGUAUCUCAUUCCGUCCAGAGGAAUCUGUCUCGUUAUCGAUAGUCCGCGUUGGACCUUACUUAAUUUUUAUUGGGUUUGUAUACCGCCGUUUAUUGAUUAUCUUUUUAGAGUUUAUUUAAUUUUCUAGUAUCUUUAUUUUGGUUUAUUUCAGGUCAAGGUGCAGCUUAUUUUUAAGUGGAAUGAUGGAUUACAUUGUUAUUUGUUUAUGGAUUGUUGGUUUUAAUAUUGAUAUGAAAUUGGAUUUGGUUGUAAUUGUUUGUAGAUUGUUAUUAUGAUAAUUGGUUCUGAGAUAUGUACACAUCGCCCGUCGCUCUCGUUUUAUUAAUGAGAUAAGUCGUAACAUAGUA
RNAcentral lists this ribosomal RNA (439 nucleotides) under Pseudocapritermes sp. QH-2002. RNAcentral describes it as "partial 12S ribosomal RNA". Lineage: Eukaryota; Metazoa; Arthropoda; Insecta; Blattodea; Termitidae. The record is from RNAcentral.